Molecule: unclassified non-coding RNA, 1090 nt
Filed under: Hevea brasiliensis (rubber tree)
Lineage: Eukaryota; Viridiplantae; Streptophyta; Magnoliopsida; Malpighiales; Euphorbiaceae
Source: RNAcentral
AACAGCACCAAAUUGAAUUUUUUCGCCAGCAAGCAGCGAGUUAAUUGGACUUGCAGCAAUAGAAAAAGCUUUGUCCUUCGUUAAGAUGGAUGAUGAUGGUAAAAUGGGCUCAGUGACUGCACUACUGUGAGCUCCACCAGAAGCUGCAUGUGCUUCAAACCUAGCAGGGCUCAUAGCCUCUUCAAGUUGGCUCUGUGACAAGGCCAUAACCUGUUGAUUGAUCUGUCCAGUACCCCAAGAGUUAAGAGGUGAUGAUGUAACAUUCUCUGUAUUUUUCUUGCUCUCAAACACCAACCCUGGCUCAAGGUCAUCUCCACCAGCAGAAACACCACCACCUGGGGUGGUUUGGUGCAACUUGGCUGUAUGAAAUUGUUUAUCAGCCUGAGAUCCGUUGCUCCCAGCAGGUGUUCCUAUUGGAGCCAGUGGCUGCGACACCACAGCAGUAAAUCCAGUGGACACAUCCUUAUAAGCAGAUCCUUGCACCUCUGAAGCAAUAAUAUCUGAAUAGUUACUCUUAUUUGAUAUUUCUCCACCCACAGAUGCCAAGAUUUUAUUUGGGCUAGUUAAAAUUGCAGUACUCUGUCUGGUCGUCCUAGGUUUGCGUGGAGGCUUAGAAGCACGGGAUUUCGCCUUGAUUUCUUUUUCUCUUUGUUCUCGCCGAUCAUUCAGCAUUUGCCUCUUAGACCUGACUUCAAUAAAGUCAUCUUCAUCACCGGGUGCUUCUAUGCCAGGCUGUUUAAAAACACGUACAACACCACUUUGCAAUGGAGCAUCAACAUCCUCAACAGAUAUGUUCCUUUUUAGAUAUCCCUCACCGGUGUGCGAAAUAUUCUGAUUUUUGUGCAGUGAUGCCCUUCCGUCAUCCUUGCUUGGCUUGGUACUAGAGUCAACCUCCUGAGAAUCAACAUUUGCUGACUUAGAAUCUAACUCCACAUUUUGCUUCAGUAGCUUACUAGAAAAGGAGCUUCUCUUUGAUCCACUUCUUGCCAGAACCGCUAUGGCAGCUCUUCCACCCUGAUUUAAUUUAUCACCAUGACAAGAGUCAUUAGAAAAACUAGUGCUGGAUGAUUGCCGACUAUCUGAAUUUUCG